ACGUGCCGGGGCGAUGGGGCUCGCCCGUGACCGCACGGACCGCCGUGCUGAUGGCCUCUGCGUGGAC
RNAcentral lists this non-coding RNA (67 nucleotides) under Streptomyces sp. Its description in RNAcentral is "Fluoride sequence". It matches the Rfam family "Fluoride riboswitch aptamer (crcB RNA motif)". The record is from RNAcentral. Lineage: Bacteria; Bacillati; Actinomycetota; Actinomycetes; Kitasatosporales; Streptomycetaceae.